This 655-nucleotide ribosomal RNA is filed under the name Rathayibacter rathayi. Its description in RNAcentral is "bacterial SSU rRNA". It matches the Rfam family "Bacterial small subunit ribosomal RNA", at positions 889 to 1533 of the family's 1533-position model. Lineage: Bacteria; Bacillati; Actinomycetota; Actinomycetes; Micrococcales; Microbacteriaceae. The record is from RNAcentral.
CAAGGCUAAAACUCAAAGGAAUUGACGGGGGCCCGCACAAGCGGCGGAGCAUGCGGAUUAAUUCGAUGCAACGCGAAGAACCUUACCAAGGCUUGACAUGUUCCCGAUCGCCGUAGAGAUACGGUUUCCCCUUUGGGGCGGGUUCACAGGUGGUGCAUGGUUGUCGUCAGCUCGUGUCGUGAGAUGUUGGGUUAAGUCCCGCAACGAGCGCAACCCUCGUUCCAUGUUGCCAGCACGUAAUGGUGGGGACUCAUGGGAGACUGCCGGGGUCAACUCGGAGGAAGGUGAGGACGACGUCAAAUCAUCAUGCCCCUUAUGUCUUGGGCUUCACGCAUGCUACAAUGGCCGGUACAAUGGGUUGCGAUACUGUGAGGUGGAGCUAAUCCCAAAAAGCCGGUCUCAGUUCGGAUUGGGGUCUGCAACUCGACCCCAUGAAGUCGGAGUCGCUAGUAAUCGCAGAUCAGCAACGCUGCGGUGAAUACGUUCCCGGGCCUUGUACACACCGCCCGUCAAGUCACGAAAGUUGGUAACACCCGAAGCCGGUGGCCUAACCCUUGUGGGGGGAGCCGUCGAAGGUGGGACCAGCGAUUGGGACUAAGUCGUAACAAGGUAGCCGUACCGGAAGGUGCGGCUGGAUCACCUCCUUUCUAAGGAG